AGUGAACGCUGGCGGUGGGCCUAACACAUGCAAGUCGAACGGCAGCACAGUAAGAGCUUGCUCUUACGGGUGGCGAGUGGCGGACGGGUGAGGAAUACAUCGGAAUCUACUUUUUCGUGGGGGAUAACGAAGGGAAACUUACGCUAAUACCGCAUACGACCUACGGGUGAAAGCAGGGGAUCUUCUGACCUUGCGCGAUUGAAUGAGCCGAUGUCGGAUUAGCUAGUUGGCGGGGUAAAGGCCCACCAAGGCGCCGAUCCGUAGCUGGUGUGAGAGGAUGGUCGGCCACAUGGGAGCUGAGACACGGUCCAGAAGCCUACGAGAGGCAGCAGUGGGGAAUAUUGGGCAAUGGGCGGAAGCAUGAUCCAGCCAUACCGCGUCGGUGAAGAAGGCGUUCGGGGUGUAAAGACCUUUUGUUGGGAGAGAAAAGCAGCAGGUUAAUACCCAGCUGUUCCGACGGUACCCAAAGAAUAAGCACCGGCUAACUACGUG
Molecule: ribosomal RNA, 492 nt
Filed under: uncultured bacterium
Lineage: Bacteria
Description: partial 16S ribosomal RNA
Rfam family: Bacterial small subunit ribosomal RNA
Source: RNAcentral